UAGGGAAUCUUCGGCAAUGGGGGGAACCCUGACCGAGCAACGCCGCGUGAGUGAAGAAGGUUUUCGGAUCGUAAAGCUCUGUUGUUAAGGAAGAACGAGUGUGAGAAUGGAAAGUUCAUGCUGUGACGGUACUUAACCAGAAAGGGACGGCUAACUACGUGCCAGCAGCCGCGGUAAUACGUAGGUCCCGAGCGUUGUCCGGAUUUAUUGGGCGUAAAGCGAGCGCAGGCGGUUAGAAAAGUCUGAAGUGAAAGGCAGUGGCUCAACCAUUGUAGGCUUUGGAAACUGUUUAACUUGAGUGCAGAAGGGGAGAGUGGAAUUCCAUGUGUAGCGGUGAAAUGCGUAGAUAUAUGGAGGAACACCGGUGGCGAAAGCGGCUCUCUGGUCUGUAACUGACGCGGAGGCUCGAAAGCGUGGGUAGCAAACAGG
This 429-nucleotide ribosomal RNA is filed under the name Bacteroidota bacterium. Its description in RNAcentral is "Bacteroidetes bacterium partial 16S ribosomal RNA". It matches the Rfam family "Bacterial small subunit ribosomal RNA", at positions 355 to 776 of the family's 1533-position model. The record is from RNAcentral. Lineage: Bacteria; Pseudomonadati; Bacteroidota.